AGUUUUCAAAGGGACUUGCCAUCAGCAGUGUGAUCAAUCAGCUAAACUUUCUCACUUGAGUGGACAAUCACCAUUUAAUCAUCAUCAAGAAAUAUGUGGGUUACUUCAAUUAUCUGAUGAAGUAUUGGCUCACAACAUUUUAUCACGCUUGACACCAAGGGAUGUUGCAUCUAUCGGGUCUGUAUGCAGAAGGAUUCGCCAAUUGACAAAAAAUGAGCAUGUGAGGAAGAUGGUAUGCCAAAAUGCAUGGGGAAGAGAAGUCACUGGUGCACUGGAGCUGAUGAC
RNAcentral lists this unclassified non-coding RNA (285 nucleotides) under Hevea brasiliensis (rubber tree). Lineage: Eukaryota; Viridiplantae; Streptophyta; Magnoliopsida; Malpighiales; Euphorbiaceae. The record is from RNAcentral.